AGGUGACAACUGAAAAUACCGCCUUUUAAAUUUCGAUUUUAUUUCCAUCAUUAAUAAGGCAAUUUGUCAGAUACUAGCUUUUCCUUUGAAGUGUAUAUUCCUAGUCUAAUUUUCUUCUGAAGAGCUGAUGGAUCUUAUCAGUUGAUACUUUUAAGUUCCCUUUUAAAGAAAUCAGCCCGUCAUAUGUCACAGCUCUGCCCAGCGACUUGUCUCAAAUUCCUACCGUGACAUCCCAUUCUCAAGGAGCUCCUGCUUGGUCAAGACCGUAACAUAAAACACAGCAAACAGCAGACUUGCAUGCUAAUGACUGCUGGUGACAAGGACUCCUUGAAUGUCACUGCUCAGUGUCCUCCUGCUGCCCAUUCUUCUCACAAGAGUGGCUUCCUUCAGAGGGCUGAUAUUCCCCUAAGAACGAGCUCCCUUCCUGGUAUCGGUAACCCCCAAAGUCUCAACAACGUCUACGCUACACUCCUUAUGCCUUCCUUUGCACUACCCCACACCUCCAAUCCAAGAGAAUUAUGCAAACAAGGCAGUGGCGUUUUAUAAAUCCUCAGGAGCAAGUUUGAUUUUUUACCCCUCGAUUCCAAACCCCACUGUAACGAAUGUAUUCGUUUUCAGAGCAGGAUGUCACUGUCCGAAUUAGCGUGAAGAAAAUGUAAUGGCUCUGCCUGCAAGACUGAAAAACACCGAGUGUGUGUUCUACUGCCGCGAUGACCCAAUCCACACCAACAUCUGUUCCGUAGAGAUGAACUCCUCCAGAUGUGAACUGGCAGGCCAGCCCCGCAGGGCUGCUACCCAGGCUUGCGCAGAGGGAUAUGGAUGCUUACCUCUGUGUCCACAUUCAAGAAAAAUUUGGCUGUCCUCCCAGUGAUUAUUCCAGUACGGAAGGAACCCUUUAAUAUUCACACUAGUGGCAUAGGCGUAUUGUGUGUCUCAGAUGCCGGGGAGCUUCAGAACAAAUCAAAGUAACGAUGAUAGAAGAAGAACAUCCAAUGACUCUGGUCCUGACAAGGACGGUAACGCCUCUGCCUGGCCUGCACAGCUGUUGCUUCAAGGCUGAGGAGUUCCCAGACUCGGGGUAAAUGCGAGACGGACUUCAGAAUUCAGCUCCGAAGGGUUCCUGAGGCAGAACUCAUUGUGCAAUGUUAAUUUUUCAAGUUAAAAGUUAUGGCCAUUUGAAAAUGACUAUCCUUCCAAACAGGAAAGAAAACCAGUGUUCAGAUUCUAAAAAUGUGUGCCUCAGUCACGGGAACACAUGCCAGUUCCGUACAAAAUGCCUUGAAGCCCUUGACCUAAUGAGGUUACUGACAAGGAUAUGAAUGGCCAGAACAGAAAAUGAAACUUGCUGAGAAUUUUCUUCAUGAACAACCAUAUUUCUCCUGUCAUUUAACCAAUUUUCAUCCUCAAAAUUACAACGUGGACGGCAAAUCUUCAAGGCUAAUGCUCCAUAUGACAGACUAAGUGCUAUUUAGGAAGUAAUAAUAUAUGUGCCAAACUGCUUUGGGGGAAACAUGAGACCACGUGACGGACGCUUCAGGUAGGCAGAGGUCAUGGGAGGUUCUAAAAAUGACACUCAGGAAAGUGAACUGCCAAACAGCAUUCCACAUCCAAUUAGUGGAAGUGCAUCACUGUCGGCGGGCUCCACCGACGGAAGAGUCCUUCUGGCCUGAGGCUUCCCAGCACACACUCGGUUAACUGACCUCCAGUGCAUGCUGCUAGCAUUCCAUGAAAAUCGAUGCUGUUGGUUCAAAUCCAGGCUUAGAGGGUGGUAGCUGGGAGCUGGGAGGGCUGCUUGUGUGCAUCCCAUGUACCAGGAGGAAUGUUCGGAAUUCCGAA
Myodes glareolus (Bank vole) is the source of this 1836-nucleotide non-coding RNA. The record is from RefSeq and is a predicted model, not a curated record. Lineage: Eukaryota; Metazoa; Chordata; Mammalia; Rodentia; Cricetidae.